Long non-coding RNA from Arachis duranensis, 297 nucleotides. RefSeq lists it as uncharacterized. The transcript has 3 exons. The record is from RefSeq and is a predicted model, not a curated record. Lineage: Eukaryota; Viridiplantae; Streptophyta; Magnoliopsida; Fabales; Fabaceae.
UUUGUCCCAUAUCAAUCAAAAGAUGGGAUAAGAUGCCAGAAGAUAACACAAAAAGACAAUGAGAACUUAUUGAAGAAAAUUUUGAGUUUGAUUAUGCUGCUAGCGUCAAAUGGGCUCUGAGGACCUUAGGUGAUAGAUGGAAGGCCCAUAAGUAUAAUUUACGGGGAGAAUACUUCUUUCCUAACAAAAGAAAGGCAGAAAUUCUGGCUGCGAAUCCCUCAGACAUACCGCCUGUUGAAUGGACUGAUUUUGUGGAUCAUUAUAUGGAUCCUAAAACAAAGAAACAAUGUUUGCAAA